GACGAACGCUGGCGGCGUGCUUAACACAUGCAAGUCGAACGGAAAGGCCCUGCUUUUGUGGGGUGCUCGAGUGGCGAACGGGUGAGUAACACGUGAGUAACCUGCCCUUGACUUUGGGAUAACUUCAGGAAACUGGGGCUAAUACCGGAUAGGAGCUCCUGCUGCAUGGUGGGGGUUGGAAAGUUUCGGCGGUUGGGGAUGGACUCGCGGCUUAUCAGCUUGUUGGUGGGGUAGUGGCUUACCAAGGCUUUGACGGGUAGCCGGCCUGAGAGGGUGACCGGGCAGAUGGGGACGGAGAGACGGCCGCGAAUGCGACGGGAGGCAGCAGGGGGGAAUAGUGCACAAUGGGCGGAAGCCAGAUGCAGCAACGCGGCGGGGGGGAGGACGGGCGGCGGGUGGUAAACCGCUGUCGCGUGAGACGAAGAGUGAGUGACGGGAAUGGGGAAAGAAGAACAGGAUAACUAAGGG
RNAcentral lists this ribosomal RNA (468 nucleotides) under uncultured bacterium. Its description in RNAcentral is "partial 16S ribosomal RNA". It matches the Rfam family "Bacterial small subunit ribosomal RNA", at positions 28 to 507 of the family's 1533-position model. The record is from RNAcentral.